CUGAGGGUAGCUUAAAAGUUAAAGUUUAGAAUUCUUACUUCUAGGAUGUCGGUGGUGAUUCCUUAGG
This 67-nucleotide transfer RNA is filed under the name Fasciolopsis buskii. Its description in RNAcentral is "Fasciolopsis buski tRNA-Lys". Lineage: Eukaryota; Metazoa; Platyhelminthes; Trematoda; Plagiorchiida; Fasciolidae. The record is from RNAcentral.